RNAcentral lists this ribosomal RNA (492 nucleotides) under uncultured bacterium. RNAcentral's name for it is "partial 16S ribosomal RNA". It matches the Rfam family "Bacterial small subunit ribosomal RNA", at positions 30 to 507 of the family's 1533-position model. The record is from RNAcentral.
AUUGAACGCUGGCGGCAUGCCUAACACAUGCAAGUCGAACGGCAGCACGGUAGGUUCUUGCUGUUGCCGAGGGCCGGACGGGGGAGUAUUACAUCGGAACCGGACCCUACGUUUUGGUGAGGGCGGAGGAAGCGGGACUUAUACUGCUAACGCAUACCGGCUGCAAGUGAAGGCACGGGAUCUUCGGCGCUUGCGGGAUUGCAGAAGCCGAUGUCGGAUUAGCUAGUUGGAGGGGUAAAGGCCUACCAAGGCGACGAUCCGUAGCUGGUCUGAGAGGACGACCAGCCACACUGGAACUGAGACACGGUCCAGACUCCUACGGGAGGCAGCAGUGGGGAAUUUUGGACAAUGGGCGAAAGCCUGAUCCAGCCAUGCCGCGUGUGUGAAGAAGGCCUUCGGGUUGUAAAGCACUUUUGUCGGGAAAGAAAAGCUUGAGGCUAAUACGGUCGGGUGCUGACGGUACCGGAAGAAUAAGCACCGGCUAACUACGUG